This 582-nucleotide ribosomal RNA is filed under the name uncultured Acidovorax sp. RNAcentral describes it as "bacterial SSU rRNA". It matches the Rfam family "Bacterial small subunit ribosomal RNA", at positions 340 to 916 of the family's 1533-position model. The record is from RNAcentral. Lineage: Bacteria; Pseudomonadati; Pseudomonadota; Betaproteobacteria; Burkholderiales; Comamonadaceae.
UACGGGAGGCAGCAGUGGGGAAUUUUGGACAAUGGGCGCAAGCCUGAUCCAGCCAUGCCGCGUGCAGGAUGAAGGCNUUCGGGUUGUAAACUGCUUUUGUACGGAACGAAAAGACUCCUUCUAAUAAAGGGGGUCCAUGACGGUACCGUAAGAAUAAGCACCGGCUACUACGUGCCAGCAGCCGCGGUAAUACGUAGGGUGCGAGCGUUAAUCGGAAUUACUGGGCGUAAAGCGUGCGCAGGCGGUUAUAUAAGACAGAUGUGAAAUCCCCGGGCUCAACCUGGGAACUGCAUUUGUGACUGCAUAGCUAGAGUACGGCAGAGGGGGAUGGAAUUCCGCGUGUAGCAGUGAAAUGCGUAGAUAUGCGGAGGAACACCGACGGCGAAGGCAAUCCCCUGGGCCUGUACUGACGCUCAUGCACGAAAGCGUGGGGAGCAAACAGGAUUAGAUACCCUGGUAGUCCACGCCCUAAACGAUGUCAACUGGUUGUUGGGAAUUCACUUUCUCAGUAACGAAGCUAACGCGUGAAGUUGACCGCCUGGGGAGUACGGCCGCAAGGUUGAAACUCAAAUGAAUUGACGG